This 596-nucleotide long non-coding RNA is filed under the name Homo sapiens (human). RNAcentral describes it as "HSALNT0372270". The record is from RNAcentral. Lineage: Eukaryota; Metazoa; Chordata; Mammalia; Primates; Hominidae.
GCAGAGGUGGGGUACUACUCAAGGACUCUUUAAACAAACAUGAAGUUUAAUUCAAUUGUUUCCUGAGAGGUUGACUUCUUCCAAAAGCCAAAGAAAAUCUCUUACUAAUCCAAAAGACUUUAGGCCCUAUUUGAAGGAAAUGGCCAUGCUGUCUGGCUUCUUGAUGAGUCCCAGUACCCAGCACAGAGCACAGUACACUCUGUCUAAACCACUAAGGCCACAUGUUGGACGGAGGCACUUUCCUGCUGGAAUCCGAUAAAUCACCACACCCAAAUAUAGAAAGAAAAAGGGACACAGAUCAUCCACACCGUGGCCGAAUGUGUGACAUCUUUGCUGAACUCUCUCCGUUCCACCUUGUGGUGGAGGCCUCCAGUCCACCAAACACAGCCCUAGGCGUGUGAACCCUGCCACAAACAUCGGUGCUCUUCCUGCACAGGGCCUGGGACCAACCGUGGCCAGGACAUCAGCUGCUGGAAGCCGAGAGAGUUCAUCUGAGUGGCGAUUUUAUGAUCUGCAGAGUGGAAAGUAAUCAUAAUCCCUUGAGAAGUUUGCAGAAUCGAACCGAAUGUUGAAUGCCAAAGAUCUUCACAAAGCAA